GAUGAACGCUGGCGGCGUGCCUAAUACAUGCAAGUCGAGCGAACGGACGAGAAGCUUGCUUCUCUGAUGUUAGCGGCGGACGGGUGAGUAACACGUGGAUAACCUCCCUAUAAGACUGGGAUAACUUCGGGAACCCGGAGCUAAUACCGGAUAAUAUUAUGAACCGCAUGGUUCAAAAGUGACAGACGGUCUUGCUGUCACUUCUAGAUGGAACCGCGCUGCAUUAGCUAGUUGGUAAGGUAAUGGCUUACAAAGGCAACGAGGCAUAGCCGACCUGGGAGUGUGAUCGUCCACACUGGAACUGGGACACGGUCCAGACUCCUACGGGAGGCAGCAGUAGGGUAUCUUCCGAGAUGGGCGAAAGCAUGACGGAGCAACGCCGCGUGAGUGAUGAAGGUCUUCGGGUCGUAAAACUCUGGUAUUAGGGGAGAACAUAUGUGUAAGUAGGUGUGCACAUCUUGACGGUACCUAAGCAGAAAGCCACGGCUAACUACGUG
This 497-nucleotide ribosomal RNA is filed under the name uncultured bacterium. RNAcentral describes it as "partial 16S ribosomal RNA". It matches the Rfam family "Bacterial small subunit ribosomal RNA", at positions 28 to 507 of the family's 1533-position model. The record is from RNAcentral.